Neodiprion fabricii is the source of this 3933-nucleotide RNA transcript. It is a transcript of the gene named transcription factor A, mitochondrial, with no coding region annotated. The transcript has 5 exons. The record is from RefSeq and is a predicted model, not a curated record. Lineage: Eukaryota; Metazoa; Arthropoda; Insecta; Hymenoptera; Diprionidae.
AAUCUAUGGUUUCGGAACGCACCCGCUAUGGGUGCAUACAUACGUGAACAUACACACACACGUCCAUACAUACAUGGCGUGCAUGGCUGAGGUCGCCUUAGGUAUUCGCGGCUUGGUAUGGCUUAGUACGUAUUGUACAUAUCUACCGGAACAGGGAUAUAAACAGGAAGAAAAGUAGCAGUUUCUUGUGCGAAUGAAGAUCCGAUUCAACCAUGGCCAUGAAUGGGAAUUUUUUCAAACUUUGUAACGUAAUGGGACCUUAUAGGAAUCUUUUGUCAUCAAGAUUCAUUUUGCCCAGCUAUCAGCCAGUAGCAACGUUGAAGCACUCUUUAGAAGAGCGACUAGGAUUAUCACCGAAACCAAAACGUCCAUUAUCUGUAUAUUUCACUUUCAUGCAACAACUGCGGCCUAUGUUGAGGCAAAAGUAUCCCGAUCUCAAAUCGCCGGAAAUAGUAGCAAUGAUUGCAAAAGAAUACAAAAAAAUGGAUCCUAGUCAAAAAUCAAAAUUGGAAGAAGAACGUAAAAACCUUUAUAAGGAAUACAGCAAAGCAAUGAUAAAUUACGAAAAUUCGAUCACAGAUGAACAGAAGGAACUGAUUAAAAAAGCUAAACGCGAUGAAGCGGAGAAAAAGCUCAAACGAAUGGAAAGAAAAUCACGAUCACAGCAAUUAAAAAGUUUGGGAAUCCCAACAAGACCACCAUCGGCCUAUAGUUUAUUUGCUCGUGCAGCAGCUGAAAAAAGAGGAUCUAUGAAGAUUAGGGACUGGCAGACAAAUAUGUUGCAAAAGUGGAAGGCUUUGUCUGAUGAAGAAAGGCAGGUAUAUGAAACUGAAGCAGCUAAAUCUAUGAAAGAGUUUAAGGAAAGUAUGAGAUUAUGGAAAGAGAGAAUGAAAGAGAGGGGUGAAGAUGAAUCAUUGUCACUUGCGAAGAAGCUCGGUUCAGGUAAAACAGGAUCGAAGCAUUGUUCAGAAUAGCAUGAUGCGUGUCUCACCCGAUCACACGACUUUGUCAGUAAGGUCAAUGGCAUGUAUUCUGGGCCAAAAUCGGAAAUAACACCCCAGGGCUGGGACACGAGCCUGCAUAAUAGUAUAGAGCAGAGUGAGAGCUUGGCGAAUGAUUCAUGUAUUGAAAAGAAAAAUGUAGUGAAGAAUUUUAACAGUGUAAGUAAUAGCACGCACGGCGAUGAAGCUACGAAAACAACAUUUUUAUCGUGCACACAAACCGACAUGGAACAGAAAACAUUGAUACAAAGUGACAAUUUCUCACAAAGUGCCACAACAAGUCAUAAAAAGUGCAUUGAUGUGGAAAUCACGGAAGAUGAAACUCAGAAGAAAACAAUACCGCAGCAGCAAACUUUAUUGGAAGAAUUAAAAACUGAUGGAAAAUCAAUUCAUCCUCAGGGAGGAAGUGAAAAUGAGCCUAGUACAAAUGAUAUUCAACUCAAACCUAUCGAUCCAGAUCAUACUUCACAUCAAAUAAAUGCCCGUCAUACGUUAGAAGCCCUUAAGUCUAAGCUCACCAGUUUGAUGAACAAACUCACGACUCAUCAAUAUGGCUGACGGCGCUGAUGCCCCUUCCGUCUUUCGCUUCAGCCCCGUUGGGAGAGGCUCCGUCCAUAAGUCCAUGGCAGAAGAUAAUUUCAUUUGGGUCAAGCGAAGGCUCAGACACAAAAUAUCAGUAUAGGUAUAGAGCUUAACUAACAAUGGAGUUGCAAUUAUCCUAUUCACGCUGCUGUUUUGUUGUUGGUGGAAUAAAUUCUAGUGGUAUCUAAGUGCCGUGAAUCGUUAAACAACCGAAAUGCUAUUCAGUCAUUUCCGUGGCAGCCAUGUGACGUGAGUGUAUGAACAAGCCUGUCCAGCUGUCACGGAAUAUGUUAUAACAAUUUCUUUCGUUACUUUCAAUUUAACUGUGAUCUGAAACUGCUAUUUCACCCACAACAAUUUUCAAUAAGGAAUCAUUUCGUUACAAAACAUUCGAAAAGUAGUCUCUCCUCUUCGACAAUUCUUCCCGUGAAAUUCACUUGUACGUGUGCACAUGGGGUAGUGUCAGAAUAAUAAAAGAUUUUACUAUGUUUGACUCAAAGAGUAUGUUAGUAAUAUGUCUAUUUAAUGUAUAUUAACUUGGUCGUUAGCAAUUUUUUUUCUAAUUCAUACAGUUUUUCUACCAUUCUCCGCAUGUAAUUAAGUUACAUAUUAUAUACAGCUUCAUUCUAAGAUAUUCCCAACCUUGACAAUGAGCAUAGCUUUUUUUUCAAAUACUCUUCUGUAAAUAAUAUAGUGGAUGCCCUGUUAAUCUUAACUAAUAAGUAACUAGUCAUUUGAGUAAAUGUUGUAUCUGGAAAAUAUACACUUUCUGUUAAGGCAGUAUUCUACUUUACAACUGAAAAAAAAUUUUUUUUUACUUUUUUCAAAAGUAAAUAUAUUGACGAAUGUUAGCUCAAAAUUUUCGAAAGAUUCAGCCCAGUUUUGAAAAUAAUGGAAAUUAUGGGCAUGAAAAUCGGCCAAACCACCAUACAGUUCAACAAUAUGCGCAACCAACAGCGCAUCGUUCGAGAGAACCACCGCUCGAUUGAGGCUUCUAAGGAGAGCAGAACUCAAAAAAAGCAGGCUAGAUUAGAUGACCAUACUCACCUGGAACAAGUUGAAGGUAUAUUAUAUGGCCCAGGUAUCGCUGAUGGAGCGUAAGAUCAUUUUUUCUACGAUUUGUCACUUACAAAAACUUUAAACGCGUUUUUCUCGAAACAACGUUUUCAAGUAUCGUGGUCGUGAAAACUCAAAAACUAUUGGACCGAUCCUUAUGAAAUUUUGAACACAUAUUCUAUAUGUUUGUAUCGACAGACCUAACUACAAUCAACUUCAAAUUUUAAUUGUAACUAUAUUUUUAUUGCAAAAAAAGACGCAAAAAAAAAACGCAAUUCUUUUUUUUCUUUCGUAUUUUAGCCGUCAUUUUGUUGAUUUUGCACAUACAUAAAAUAUUCUACUUAGAUCGGUUCCUGGAGUCAUACUGAACAUAAAACUAUCUGAUUUUUUUGGUUCAAACCAUCCGUCGGCAAGAUUUUACGACGACGGCAACCUUCCCUACUUUUUGAGGUGUUGGUUUUGACCAUACUUUACAUGCAUAAAAAAUGUAUAAAAUAAAUGAAGAAAGUUUUUUUUAUGUACUUCAAGAGUGCAUUUAUUAAACAUUUCACACCCUACAUCCAUAUCUUCAAUAGUAUUCUCAGAAACAAUUCACAAAAAUAGAGUUUUUUUCAAAGAUGUAAAGUAGAAUACUGCCUUAAACAGGUUCCAUCGACCGACUAUUUAUAUAAUUUCUAAGUAACUAGACCCUUGUAACUUGUUUCAAAGGUUAAAAGUUUUGCUAAUCCUUAAAAUGAUUUAAAAUUAAAAGGUAUAUAAACCAAGUAACUUACUUACAUAUUAGUAUCAAUUAUCCUGAGGAAGGUCCAUAAAAAUGUGGAGAAAAACUGCAUUUUUAAAAAUAUUUUCUCCACGACUAGAAGUAUAUGUACUUGAACUGUUGGUCUCCGCUGUUCACCCAUAAUGAAACAAGAAAAUUAAAUUCUUAUGUACGAGCUUUUACAGAAGACACAAAAAAUCGCGUUUUUAAAUAAAAAUAAUUAUUUAAAAAGAAGAAAGUUGAAUUAAGAAAUAUGAAACUACAAAAAACCUAUCCAAAAAUUCGCAUAUAAAAUCUGAAUCCCUUAGCUGUAUCACUUGUGAGUAAUUAAUAUUAACGUAACCAAAUGCGUUAGCUUGUAGGUUCUGCCGGGCAUACUAUGGCCAGUGAGGAAGACUAACUGCACUUGAAACCAUUCCUCUCUAUUCCCUGCAGCGACUAAACUAGUGAACCUCCUCCACAUCUUAAGAACAAUUUGUAUAGGGGAGAGGCGAGCAAAAUGGGCUGCCUGUACAAUCAAAUGCAAAAAAUAUC